UCAAUGCAUGGCAGCCUUGGUGGGCAACUGACUGCAGUGGUUUCUAGUUCAAAUUAAAACAGCAACUGCCUUGACCAGUGCUGGAGAGAAACAAAUUAAGAUCAAAGCAAAUCUUCAGAGGCCUCCAGACCCUGGAGCUGGGGAUGGAAACUCACCACAGUGCUUAGAAGCUCAACUGGCCAUCAAGUCCAGGGAGUUACUACAGAGCUGGGUCCAGCCACAGCCAGGACAUCCCUGCAUCCAGCACCCCUGCUGCCAGCAUCAACUGCAAGGAGGGAAGUUUGGUUGCUUGUCACUGAGGAGCUCGAAACAAAUGGAUUUGUAUAAAAUGUACUCGCUCCAUUCAUGGCCUCAGCAGCCGUCGGCUGCCUGCCCGGGAGGGAGUGUUGUAAUGUCGUCAUUUUCUAGCUUGGAUUCAAACCAAAUGGUCACCUGCACAUAGAAGUAAUGAUCAUAGAACAAUCUGGUGCCCCUUAAAAAACUCCCAGCUCAAAUCCAAGCCCGGGAGAGGCCGGUGUGCAGACGUGACCCAAGGGGCAGCCAGGCGUGCUGACUGCAGCCCUGCCGGAGGCUGGCGGCUGAGCCCUGCAGCGAUAAAACCCGACUCGCUGGCGGUUUCUUGGCUGGGCUUCUCUUGAGCAAGGAGUGUCUGAAGUGGGGUUUCUCACUGUGCUAUUGUCCUUUGAAAGCAGCCAUCCAGCUUUAGUCCACAGACACUGCCGAGGCGGGCAGCCUGGCAUCCAGCCCGCAGGGAUCUCUGAGCCCUGCCAUCCCAGCCCUGCCUGCUUCCCGCUCCUGCACAGGGAUGGGGAGAGGGACAUCUUCUGCAGCAGCGACUGAAAUCUGUCUGACAUUCAAAACAACGUCUGGAGUUCAUUAGAGCAGCAAUCCGCAGAUUGGGCACCAGGCACUUCUGAGGGAUCACACAAAGGCGCUUCACGGGGGUGUGAGCUCGCCUCGGCGCGUUUUCUUCACGGCCCAAAUUAUUACAGGAUCCAGAUGUGCUCAAAGGCUCAUCUGCAGCGUGUGCAAGCCCAUGGGCUCCCCAGCCCUUUCCUAACCCUGCUGAGGCCAUUCCUGCCUGCUCUGCUGCCCAGCACACAAGCCUUCCCCUGCCUGAGCACCACAGAAAUGCAACAGGACCUGAGGACACGUCACCUCAGGAGUGAACACCUUUAUAAGCAGAGAUAAUCUUCAAACCAGG
This 1204-nucleotide long non-coding RNA is filed under the name Serinus canaria (Common canary). Its description in RNAcentral is "lncRNA (ENSSCAG00000005160.1)". Lineage: Eukaryota; Metazoa; Chordata; Aves; Passeriformes; Fringillidae. The record is from RNAcentral.